This 380-nucleotide ribosomal RNA is filed under the name uncultured eukaryote. RNAcentral's name for it is "partial 18S ribosomal RNA". It matches the Rfam family "Eukaryotic small subunit ribosomal RNA", at positions 592 to 976 of the family's 1831-position model. The record is from RNAcentral.
CAAUAGCGUAUAUUAAAGUUGUUGCAGUUAAAAAGCUCGUAGUUGGAUUUGUGGCGUACGGUGUGUUCCGGGCACUUGUUGUCUGAGUAACCUGCUGUUGCCAUCCUUGGGUGGAACCUGUGCGGCAUUAGGUUGUCGUGCAGGGGAUGCCCAUCAUUUACUGUGAAAAAAUUAGAGUGUUCAAAGCAGGCUUAUGCCGUUGAAUAUAUUAGCAUGGAAUAAUGAGAUAGGACUUUUUUGCUAUUUUGUUGGUUUGCGCAAGAAGGUAAUGAUUAAUAGGGACAGUUGGGGGUAUUCGUAUUCCAUUGUCAGAGGUGAAAUUCUUGGAUUUUUGGAAGACGAACUACUGCGAAAGCAUUUACCAAGGAUGUUUUCAUUAA